Molecule: non-coding RNA, 2317 nt
Organism: Zootermopsis nevadensis
Lineage: Eukaryota; Metazoa; Arthropoda; Insecta; Blattodea; Termopsidae
Source: RefSeq, a predicted model, not a curated record
AGGAGCUAUGUGUUCUCUCUCCCCAAACGCGUACACGGCGUAUAAAGGGACAGCAUGUUUCUUACAGAGACUGCAAAACACCAGGUCGCAAACGGCAGUGACGGCAUAUUGUUGCAGUGAACUUUAACCACGUAUGGUAGACAAAUGCAAACAGAGGCCUACAUUUGAAACAAAACAAUUGAAGGACACUCUUGCCCGUAAUUGCGAAAAUUACCGUCAUUAUAACUAGUGGUGAUACUUAUUUUCCAUAUCUUGAACAGAAUGCAUCAACUGUCUCCAUCCUGAAGAGUCUUCAGGAUGGAUGGAAAUCUGCCACUCAUGUAACUGUAGACUUAUUAGCUGCCACAAAAAUAUAAUUUUAUAUUAAGAUCUUUAAUUUGUCACAGCUAGACAAUAUCAACAUAUUUUUGCCUCAUACCCAUGUUUUAAUGCAAUACAGUCAAAAGUUCUGGAUGACUUUCUGUUUUCAGGUGUGAACAAUAAUCACACCUUUCAACAUUCUUAAGCAUAAAAUUUCGCAAUUUUAUGAUAUAAUGUCAAAAUGUAACUAGACGAAAGUAACAAAUCUAAUUUAUAUUUUACAGAUGCAUCAACAGUAGUUUCAGCUCCUACUGGGUCAGGGAAAACAGUUAUUUUUGAACUGGCAGUCAUCAGAUUGCUAAUAAAAUUAAAAGAUGUUGAAUGUAGAGGAGAAUACAAAAUUGUAUAUAGUAUCAUUAUCAUUAGCAACAUGAGCUAAUUAUACCAUCACUUCUUAACCACAAACUGGAUGUAAAUACGAAUUACAACACACAAAUUGUAUUAUAAUUCUCCACAUGUAUAUACAUUAAAUACACAAUAAUGAAGAAACUGCCCUGAAGAUUAAAAAAACAACAUAAAAUGUAUAUAAUAUAAACAUUAAUCAUAGUCCAACCUAAAAGAAAUGUAUGUUAUUGUCAAAAUGUGAUGGCUCAGAGUAACUGUUUGUAGUACUGAGUAACAAAUGUUUCUUUCCCUUUGUUUUAAUGUGAAUGGAAAUUUGAUGUGUGUACUUUCAUCAGGAAUGUCUGAUAUGGACUCAAAAUGUGCAUUCUGAAAUUCAAGAAUGGCAGCAGACACAAGCAGUUGCAGAAUGUUUUUAACAGUGUUAUAACCUGCUUAUGAUGCGAUGUUGGAUGAAAGACUAUGGAACGAAUGAACAGUAAGACAGACAAAAUGGAUGAGAAACCACUAUGCCCUUUAGUAAAUUUGAGCAUGAGAAUACAAUACAAUCGACAUAAUUUAGGAGUCAUAGGAAAAGGGCAUGGUUUAUCACAAAUAACUGACACAUUUCUGAGUUUGUUGGCAGCAAUACAUCUGAAACUGAAUUAAACUAACUUUCUUUUCUAAAUUUAUGUGAUUUUAUCCUCUGCAACUUUCAUUGAAACACAGCUGUUGCACAGAUCAACAAAUACCUUCAUGUACAUUUUUUGUAAUGCAACAUCACAGCUGACUCAUAUCAAAUCCUACCACAGAACUUAACACAGCAACAAAAUCAUUACUCAAAUGGAACCAUAAUCAUGUAAAUAUAUUCUGAUAGUUUACUGUCAUUGUACUCAUCACAGUGGCUCCUGUGAAGGCCUUGUCUUCAGAGAGAUUCCAAGACUGGAGGCCUUCUCUUGGUUUGAAGUGCAAAGAACAUACAGGCGACACAGACGAAUAUGAUCUAUCUAGUCUCUCAACUUACCACUUGAUCCUAACUACACCAGAGAAAUGGGACUCCCUCACCAGAAAGUGGAAGGUCAACAAGGGAAUAGUUCAGAUCGUCAAAUUAUUCCUCAUCAAUGAGGUAGGAAGUUAUGACGUGGAACAUGUAUUCACACCAUAACAAAAGGUGCAUCUUCUGAAUGAAGAACAGCGUGGUCCAAUGCUGGAAGCAGUGGUGAGUCGUAUGAAGACAGUACGGGGGGCUAUUUGUGUCACACAACGACAAACGCAAGAACAGCACCACAGUGACUCGCAGACAACAGUACAAAAUCACAAAUAUAUGUUUCUGAGAUUGGUGGAGAAUAAUUAUGUAAAUUGUUACAGCAUGAGCCUUUGCAUAAUACAGAAUUUAAAAACAGGAAAAAGUUAUUUCCUUGACAAGAUAAAAUACAAUACUUCACAUGUUAUAGAAUCAGUGUCUGACAAGGAUGUACUUUCGCUCCCUUUUCUACUUUCUGGCAUGUUUAACCUUUAACCUAUUAAUGCCCAAGGAUAUUCUCUUGAAAAGUAUACAUUUUAUUAUGUAUUAUAAUUUGGCAUUAAUAUAAUCUAAGCAAUUUAAAGAACUGUUAAAUAAAUCAAAACACCUGAA